RNAcentral lists this transfer RNA (73 nucleotides) under Ursus americanus (American black bear). It matches the Rfam family "tRNA". Rfam says of the family: Transfer RNA (tRNA) molecules are approximately 80 nucleotides in length. Their secondary structure includes four short double-helical elements and three loops (D, anti-codon, and T loops). Lineage: Eukaryota; Metazoa; Chordata; Mammalia; Carnivora; Ursidae. RNAcentral also lists the same sequence under 1 other name. The record is from Rfam by way of RNAcentral.
ACCUGGCUGGCUUAGUCAGAAAAGCAAGUGACUCUUGAUCUCAGGGUCGUGAGUUCGAGCCCCACAUCAGGUG